CCCACGCGCACACACACCCAUGUUGGAUCCCAUCUCUCUUGUCUUCCUCGAUCCCCUUUCUCCACCCCACGCCGCCGCCAGAUUUCAGCGAUCCCCGCCGUUCCCCACCGCCCAGCUCUCCUCCCCGAGGUCACCUCUCCCCGCUCACCAUCUCCACCGACCGGUUUCUCUCCUUUCCCAGGAGAGUCCCGCCUCCUUGCCGCCAAGGCCGCCGCCGCCCGCCGCCUCGAGCGGCGCCGCCUCCUCCUCGAGCGCCGCGCCGCAGACCUCGCCUUCCGCGCCCUUGCCGCCCGUGCUGACAUCGACGCCACCCACGCGCGCCGCCUCAUCGUCGCCCACGACAUCAGCUCGACCAACGGCGAGAUCGAGGAUGCGCAGCGGAAGGCGGAGGAGUGGGACCGCUUCUACGAGUCCAAGAGGAUGGAGAUGGAGGAGUUCCGACCGUCGUCUCCACAGCCUCCAUCCACCACGGCCGCAGCCACUUCUCAACCCCACGAGUAGCCUCCUGGCCUAGUUCCUCAUCACCGUCCUCCUCCCGGUCCCUGUCCACCUCCGCCUCCACCUGGUGGUCCCAGAGGCGACGACUCCCCGUCGCCUCGGCCACCGUAGAGCUCCGCGAGGCCGCCGCGGGUGGUGGAGACUCCGUCAUGACGCCGCAGCCCAACUCAAGUGUUAAGUUCAGCGUGGAGGCAGCCCUGCAGGAGCUGCAGAGCUGCGGGUUGCACUCGGACGACGUCGGGAUCGGGGCUGCGGAAACCUGGAAGGCCUACCUCAUGGCUAAGAAGGCCAAGCUGGAUGAGACCCUGGCUGCAGCCCGCCAGUUCAGAGCACUGCUUCGGCAGCAGCUCCAGAAAGCCUUCGUGUCACAGGUUAGGGAUCAAAAGGCAGCACAAAACUGACUAGUUAUGUGGUACAAGCAAAACAACAUUCAUUAGCUAGCUCAUCAAUCACUUCAGAUUAAGGAUGCAAUGCAAGUGUGGCGGGCUAGUGGACAGUAACAUAGUAGUACACAUGUAGUGUUACUUUUAGGCAAAUGUUGAGCAAAUUUUGAACUAAUGGAUGAGUUUCGUGGGACGAAGCGGGCUGCCACUUGCACUCCUCCUACUGAUGAAACGAACUUCAAAUGUCUCUACAUGCAGAUACAUGCUUUUUAUUUCAGUCUUGUUUAGAGGAGGCCCCGGCGGCGUCGAGCUGCUGUUGCUGCGGGCACAGCGACGUCGGCGUGGUCGGGAUGGUCGCAGCCCUUCAAGAUUCUCAACGGCGGCGUCUCGGUGCUGAUGGUGGAGUCGAUGGCGAGCAUCGGCGAGUACAGGACCCUUGUAGGAGACCAUCCUCAAGAUGGACGAGAAGAUGAGGUCUGGACCCUUGUAGGAGACCAUCCUCAAGCAGCACUAGAUAUGGAGUAGGAGGACGAGCAGCAGCAGCAAAUCAGACUGAUGAUGACGGGGUGCGGAAGGCAAUGGUGAUCAUGCUGAUGGCAUGAAGAAGGCUGAUGACCACAACCUGGACAUGUUGGCAUUUAGAGAUGGCAAACACAGGCGGCGUGGAGAUAGCAACCUGGACCACCCACCUCGCUUGCCUUUUUAAUUUUGGUUGUGGUGGUUGCAUCACCGUCGCGGUCGCAAAUCAGUAUGUAGUGUGCUUGUGGAGUUGGGUCUGGACUGCUGUGUCCAUCUAGUAGGUUAGGUGUUGUUGCUGCUAGAUCCCAUGAUGCUCACCUAAGUUUUGUGUUAUAUGGAGGCCAACCUUUGUGACCUUAUUUGUCGACACUUGUGUGAUCUCGUCUUACUUUGUGCUACAGGUUGUAUGAUAUAUAUAUAUGUUUUUAUGGAUGAUCUUGUGAUG
This 1845-nucleotide ribosomal RNA is filed under the name Triticum aestivum (bread wheat). RNAcentral's name for it is "partial small subunit ribosomal RNA". The record is from RNAcentral. Lineage: Eukaryota; Viridiplantae; Streptophyta; Magnoliopsida; Poales; Poaceae.